UACGGAGGGAGCUAGCGUUGUUCGGAAUUACUGGGCGUAAAGCGCACGUAGGCGGCUUUGUAAGUUUGGUGUGAAAUCUCCCGGCUUAACUGGGAGGGUGCGCCGAAAACUGGAAGGCUUGAGUAUGGGAGAGGUAAGCGGAAUUCCUGGUGUAGCGGUGAAAUGCGUAGAUAUCAGGAGGAACACCUGCGGUGUAGACGGCUUACUGGACCAUAACUGACGCUGAGGCACGAAAGCGUGGGUAGCAAACAGG
RNAcentral lists this ribosomal RNA (253 nucleotides) under uncultured bacterium. RNAcentral's name for it is "partial 16S ribosomal RNA". It matches the Rfam family "Bacterial small subunit ribosomal RNA", at positions 524 to 776 of the family's 1533-position model. The record is from RNAcentral.